This 504-nucleotide ribosomal RNA is filed under the name uncultured bacterium. Its description in RNAcentral is "partial 16S ribosomal RNA". It matches the Rfam family "Bacterial small subunit ribosomal RNA", at positions 29 to 523 of the family's 1533-position model. The record is from RNAcentral.
AUUGAACGCUGGCGGCAGGCCUAACACAUGCAAGUCGGACGGUAGCACAGAGAGCUUGCUCUUGGGUGACGAGUGGCGGACGGGUGAGUAAUGUCUGGGGAUCUGCCCGAUAGAGGGGGAUAACCACUGGAAACGGUGGCUAAUACCGCAUAACGUCGCAAGACCAAAGAGGGGGACCUUCGGGCCUCUCACUAUCGGAUGAACCCAGAUGGGAUUAGCUAGUAGGCGGGGUAAUGGCCCACCUAGGCGACGAUCCCUAGCUGGUCUGAGAGGAUGACCAGCCAAACUGGAACUGAGACACGGUCCAGACUCCUACGGGAGGCAGCAGUGGGGAAUAUUGCACAAUGGGCGCAAGCCUGAUGCAGCCAUGCCGCGUGUAUGAAGAAGGCCUUCGGGUUGUAAAGUACUUUCAGCGGGGAGGAAGGCGGUGAGGUUAAUAACCUCACCGAUUGACGUUACCCGCAGAAGAAGCACCGGCUAACUCCGUGCCAGCAGCCGCAGUAA